GUGCUUACAAAAUGUUAAUGGAAGUUCACUUUUCAGGACAGUCUCUGCAGACUACUUUUGCUCAGUAGGUGGCAGCUAAAAUGGAAAAAGGAGAAGAUGGAUGUGCCAGGCCACCAUGGACAGCUACAGAAGACGGACUUAAACACCUGCUUCUUUCUGCUUAGCAAAAGCCACCAUGGAACUGAGGAGGUAAAAAGGACCUUUCCUUGGAAAAAAAUUGUGUGAUGAGUGAAGUGUUACAGGUGACAAGGAUCAUUCCUUGGAAGUGUGUCUUUCUUUCCAAGGAGAUGGCAGGUAAACUUCUGAGUCCGAUUCCUAGAUUUCCUCCCCUCUCCCUCACCACCAAUGAAAAAG
Corapipo altera (White-ruffed manakin) is the source of this 354-nucleotide long non-coding RNA. RefSeq lists it as uncharacterized. The transcript is spliced from 2 exons. The record is from RefSeq and is a predicted model, not a curated record. NCBI's taxonomy places the organism in Eukaryota, Metazoa, Chordata, Aves, Passeriformes, Pipridae.